RNAcentral lists this ribosomal RNA (253 nucleotides) under uncultured bacterium. RNAcentral's name for it is "partial 16S ribosomal RNA". It matches the Rfam family "Bacterial small subunit ribosomal RNA", at positions 524 to 776 of the family's 1533-position model. The record is from RNAcentral.
UACAGAGGGGGCAAGCGUUGUUCGGAAUUACUGGGCGUAAAGGGCGCGUAGGCGGCGCGACGAGUCACUUGUGAAAUCUCCGGGCUUAACCCGGAGCGGCCAAGUGAUACUGUCGUGCUCGAGUGCGGAAGGGGCCACCGGAAUUCUCGGUGUAGCGGUGAAAUGCGUAGAUAUCGAGAGGAACACCUGCGGCGAAGGCGGGUUGCUGGGCUGAUACUGACGCUGAGGCGCGAAAGCUAGGGGAGCGAACGGG